Molecule: ribosomal RNA, 771 nt
Filed under: Massilia sp. MJ313
Lineage: Bacteria; Pseudomonadati; Pseudomonadota; Betaproteobacteria; Burkholderiales; Oxalobacteraceae
Description: bacterial SSU rRNA
Rfam family: Bacterial small subunit ribosomal RNA
Source: RNAcentral
AUGCAGUCGAACGGCAGCGCGGGGCAACCUGGCGGCGAGUGGCGAACGGGUGAGUAAUAUAUCGGAACGUACCCAGAAGUGGGGGAUAACGUAGCGAAAGUUACGCUAAUACCGCAUACGAUCUACGGAUGAAAGUGGGGGACCUUCGGGCCUCAUGCUUUUGGAGCGGCCGAUAUCUGAUUAGCUAGUUGGUAGGGUAAAGGCCUACCAAGGCAACGAUCAGUAGCUGGUCUGAGAGGACGACCAGCCACACUGGAACUGAGACACGGUCCAGACUCCUACGGGAGGCAGCAGUGGGGAAUUUUGGACAAUGGGCGCAAGCCUGAUCCAGCAAUGCCGCGUGAGUGAAGAAGGCCUUCGGGUUGUAAAGCUCUUUUGUCAGGGAAGAAACGGUUGGGGCUAAUAUCCCCGGCUAAUGACGGUACCUGAAGAAUAAGCACCGGCUAACUACGUGCCAGCAGCCGCGGUAAUACGUAGGGUGCAAGCGUUAAUCGGAAUUACUGGGCGUAAAGCGUGCGCAGGCGGUUUUGUAAGUCUGUCGUGAAAGCCCCGGGCUCAACCUGGGAAUUGCGAUGGAGACUGCAAGGCUUGAAUCUGGCAGAGGGGGGUAGAAUUCCACGUGUAGCAGUGAAAUGCGUAGAGAUGUGGAGGAACACCGAUGGCGAAGGCAGCCCCCUGGGUCAAGAUUGACGCUCAUGCACGAAAGCGUGGGGAGCAAACAGGAUUAGAUACCCUGGUAGUCCACGCCCUAAACGAUGUCUACUAGUUGUC